AAGUCCCGAAGGGCAAUUGUGUC
RNAcentral lists this non-coding RNA (23 nucleotides) under Gossypium hirsutum (cotton). Lineage: Eukaryota; Viridiplantae; Streptophyta; Magnoliopsida; Malvales; Malvaceae. The record is from RNAcentral.